AUAAAGGUCUUAAGGAAGCACUGCGUCUUCCUUACACCCUACACUUACCUCCCCCUCCUCCGCCUCCUCCUCCUCCUCUCCUUGUUCUUCACAUAACUUCUCUUCAUUUUAUUAACCUAACCUAACAUGCAGACAGUGCCAGCCUAACGUAACCCCCCCCCCCACCUGCAGGCAGUACAAGCUGUUCCUUUAUCACACUUCUGAGUCGCCCCCACAGUGGAAGGAACGGGGCAUGGAGGCCAUUAAGAUUCUGAGGAACAAGCAGAAGAAGGCUGUGGAGUUUGUUCAGUGGCAGAAUUAAUGCCAGUGGUUGAGUUCAGAUCCUCCAAGACACACAGACACACACACAGCAGCCCCUCCACCUUCCCACAGCCCUCCACAGCCCCUGACACAGUAUCUGAGACAGGCCCUUCACAGACCACCACAUACCUCACACAUACAUAAGAACAUAAGAACAUAAGAAAUAAGGGAAGCUGCAAGAAGCGACCAGGCUUACCCAUGGCAGUCCCUGUAUGAAACACACCUACCUAUUUCCAUCUGUUAUCCCCAUCCAUAAACUUGUCUAAUCUUCUCUUAAAGCUCUCUAGUGUCCUAACACUAACAACAUGAUUACUGAGUCCGUUCCACUCAUCUACCACUUUUUUUGAGAACAAAUUUUUUCCUAUCUCCAUCCUAAACCCAAAUUUUUCAAGCUUGUACCCAUUAUUUCUUGUUCUACCCUGGUUGCUGAUCCUAAGAAUUUUGCCUACAUCCCCCUUGUUAUAACUCUUAUACCACUCAAAGACUUCUAUCAGGUCCCCUCUUAACCUACGUAUCUCUAAAGAAUGUAAAUUUAACAGCUUCAACCUCGCCUCGUAAGGAAUACUCCUCAUCCCCUGUAUCCUUUUAGUCAUUCUCCUCUGUACUGAUUCUAAUAGACCUAUAUCUUUCCUGUAAUGUGGGGACCAGAACUGCACAGCGUAGUCUAGAUGAGGUCUGACCAGUGCCAAGUAUAACUUUAAUACUACUUCCGGCCUUCUACUUUUAACACUCCUAAAAAUUACACACACCACAGGAGCCUCACAAACAGUCUCACAGCCUUCACAAGCAGCCCCACACUCCACCACAGACACACCAGACCCACAGCCCUUCACCUCACCCACUUCCCAGCCCCCCACAGCCCCCCAGCCACCACAAAUGAAGUGAAAGGAAGGGACUGUGGCUUCACCCAGCCAGCCAGGACAGCCUACAGAGAGGGGGUAGUCCCAGUCAAGUCACAAAAUAUAGGCUUGGUUCUUCCUACAGUUUGAAGUCAAUGAUUGGACAGGCCAGACAGCCUAGUGGCAGAGCUGCAGGUAGCCCUUGUAAGCUUCCUGGUGGCACAGAUGUAGGACAGCUGGGAGCAGUGGAGGUGCCUGAUGGGGCAGCUGUGCCGGGCAGAGGGGCUGCUACUGCUGGGGAGAGCCACACUUGUAUGGUGGUAACACGGAGAGGAAGUGGAAGAAACCUUGGGACGCUCCCAUAACUCAGGAGCAAGAAGUAAACCUUACUGGAAACCUUGUGACUGACAGGUGGCGGUGACUGCAGGAACCAAUUCAGAUGUCUGUCUUGUGUUGGCGAACGUCCUGUCUGCAGUCAGGCCAGUAGUGCCAUGUCGCAGGGUGUGACAUCAGGUGAAGAACCAAAUGGAGAGUGUCUGCAGCCAGUACUGGGUGUGCUGAUGCUGUACACAAGUGUCGAGCCAGGUGCCACAGCACAUGUCAGCUGACUCCACCAGUGUAGUGUCUCUAGUCCAGGAUGCACUGCUGUGUACGACUUGUAUGUCUUUAUAAAUUUGUGACUAUUCUUAUUAUAUUUGUGAAAUAAGACUUGUAUGUCUUUGCUAAUAAAUAAAUAUUUGUGACUAUUCUUAUUAUAUAUGUGAAAUAAAUAUAUAGUUUGCUAACAGUGUGGUAUAAUAGUGUAAAAAUAAAUAUUUGAUAAUUCAUGCAUGCCCCAAAGGUAAAAAAAAAAAAAAAACAGGAUUGUGCCCUCUAAACUUUUAAGAUACCACUUGCACAUAGAAGCCCCGUCCCAGCGACUCCA
Long non-coding RNA from Scylla paramamosain (green mud crab), 2064 nucleotides. RefSeq lists it as uncharacterized. The record is from RefSeq and is a predicted model, not a curated record. Lineage: Eukaryota; Metazoa; Arthropoda; Malacostraca; Decapoda; Portunidae. The transcript is spliced from 5 exons.